UUAAAUUAUUUUCUCUAAUCUACCUGCCAUGUUUAUCGCCAAACCGCUCUAUUCGCGAAAGAAUAGCAGAUCCGUUUUUGUUUUCUAUAAGCUCGUCAUUAAUUACGUGAUCUACAAUUAGAAUUAUUUAAAUAUCUGCUUUAUUUUAAUCGGCUUAAACAACCGACAGGCAAUUCGGCGCCGACGCCGGUCAUGAGCCGUCCAUACUCGCCAUUUUGUCAUUUUGCAAACUAAGAAAAUGCAAACAAAACAUUAUUUGCCCUAAACACGCGUUACUUUUAAAUAAUUUUGUCGACAAAGUGAGCCUGUUUUAUCAAAUUGAACUCCGAACUGCAAUUGCAAUGUAAUUUUCCGAUAACGAAAGUGAGGUUACGAAAUUGACAUGACAUUAUUUUAUGUACAAUAUGAACGUUCGUGUUGGGAAAAAAAAACGUGAAUGCAAUGGACAUGUGUUUAGUUGUGUUUCUCAUCAAGAUAAUAGAAGAAUCUAGUGCUCAUACUCAUGAUCUAAUGAGCAAACAGCCCAUGUAUAGGAUGUCUUAUCGGGCUAUGUCUCUACUAAUAAAGUGAACAAUUGCCUUCUCCAAAAGCAGCUUUGCAAAAAAAGUUUCAACAUCUAAUUGGAAUUUCUCUGGAAAGUUUACAAUGCCCGAUAUUUCUACACAUCUGCCACAAAUUUAUGGAAAUCAAUAUUUAUAGAAACUGAACAUACCUUGGUUAAACGUAUAUGAAAUGGGUUAUCAUCAUUGAAGAACAUCAACCAGCUGUCGGCAACAUGCAGGUUGACCGAGGAAUUUGUCGGUGUGUCCUUUAUGGACUGUACUCCGUCUUUGCACUAUCGUCAAUUUUACUCGGGAGUCACCGCUUCAGCCCGGUCCUUCUUUCAUAUAUCUACUGUCUUCAUAUAGAUGAAAGUGUACUAAAGGCUCACUGAUCUACACUACCAGCUCAUGCUCAAUGUUACUGAACAACAAAGUAAUCCGACAAUCAGACUGGACCCGGUCAUGUUAGGUACCAAAGGAAAACGAAAAUAUCAUUGGUUCUGUACUGAUGCAUGACUUCGCUCGGAACGCGGCAAGAAUGAACAAUGGAAGAAAAUACUACAGACUUGUUUAUUAACGAUAAAGUUAUUUUAGUUUUUAUGAAAUAGCGAUUGAAUAAAAAUAUUA
Long non-coding RNA from Leguminivora glycinivorella, 1169 nucleotides. RefSeq lists it as uncharacterized. NCBI's taxonomy places the organism in Eukaryota, Metazoa, Arthropoda, Insecta, Lepidoptera, Tortricidae. The record is from RefSeq and is a predicted model, not a curated record. The transcript has 6 exons.